AGCCAGUCUCCAGCAGGGCUGUGCAAAACCCAUCCAUGCCUGGGAGAGCGUGCCCAUGCAAUCGCACCCUGGGAACCGGUUCACCAGCUCUGCAAGCAGGGGCCUGUCUGGUGAGGGAGUCUGUCUCAGCUCUUGAGGAGCCAUGUGUCUUUAAAACACCCCGAGGAUGACAGAUUUGGGGGCAGCUUUUGGAAAUGAGGAGCCAGCUGAGGCUGGGGAUGCUCAGCAGGCAUCCAUGAGGAUUUGGUUCAGCUUUUCAAGGGGACUCAUGACAGGAAAGCCGUGACUGUAUCCUGCAAGCGCCCCUAUCUGCUGCUGCGAUCUCCCUUUGUUUGGCUGCCAGCUCUCCGCACCUGCGUGCAUGCCGGCUCUCCCUCCCCGCUGCGGGUUGCUGGGACAGGAUAAUUUGGAGGCAAUGACCUGCCUUGCCCUUUUCCAAGAUUGCGCUCCAGAUUACCACCAGACUCUACAUCAGCAUCACCAAGUCCCUUUAAGUGAUGGCAAGAAGCAGAUGAGGCUCCUGGCCAGCAUGGGCUCCAAGUAUUCACCACAGCCACUCAGGGAAAGGAAACAAGCUGGAUGGACCCACUUGGGCAUUCCCUGUCCAGGAGGAACCAUGACAGACAGACCACCAGCCCAGAGAAGCCUCUAGAGACCUUGCUUGAAUGGAAGGAGGAGGUGCUCUGCUACCGUUUCAUCUCUUAAAGAGAAGCAGGGACUGAGUCAUUAAAAUCUUAUCUAUGUCAUCCUCAUUUGCUUGAACUUUUGUAGCUUCUUCUCCUACCCAAAGAGAAGAGCGAGGACUGGAGCAGCUGUGGGAGUCCCUGGCCACAGCAUACAAAGCCCACUUGUUAUCAGCACUGUCAUAUGCCUCUCUGCUCCCUCCCCCUUCCCAGCUCCACCACAACCGCUGCAUCCCAACAGCACAAGCCGGGCAUCCAUCAAAAGGGCUAUUAUCCCACGAUUUCUUAACAGCCACUGUUGCUCUUGGAUAUGGAGAACCAAGCUCCCCCUUUGACACAGUGCCCCGAGCUAAGGAAUAGUGGUGCCUGUCGCUGGCUGGCAUUCUGAUCUGCAGAUUGUCAUGGAAGCCAGGGUGGGAUGGGGAGCUGCUGCCUGUACACGGGGUUGGGUUAGCAAUUUAGGCCUUCCCUCCAGCCCUGCAAGGUAGACAGGUCCUACAGAGUUCAUGCUUUUGGCCUCCAGAUGUUAGCAGUGAGGGUAACUCCCAUGGAGGGUGGCUAAGAGACCACAUCCUUCAUUCUUUACGGCUCAUGCUUUUAAUCUGCUCUUCCUGGACUGGGGGAGAAAAAGGGCACAGAAACAGUCACCAACCUCUGGAGUAGGCAAAGGGUCUGUGGUGCAUGGAGAGGCAGCUUCCAGAGAUGCGCACAUUGACUCAGGCAACCUCUGACUGGCUCCGGGCACUGACAUCCCCAGAGCCUGCUGGAGGGGGCCCCUUCGCCCUUUUGCCCCACAGGCAGUAGGUGCUGGCACUGCUUGCCCCUGCCUCCAUCACAGGUGCCUUCUUCUUGCUGCAUAUGAACAGGCAAAUUGGUGACAGCACAGACAGUGCCAGCUCUUCCACACACACAAGAUCUACCAGCUGUGACACCACGGGCGAGGCUGGAGUCCUGGCAGGGAUGGGCAGA
Molecule: long non-coding RNA, 1652 nt
Filed under: Junco hyemalis (dark-eyed junco)
Lineage: Eukaryota; Metazoa; Chordata; Aves; Passeriformes; Passerellidae
Description: lncRNA (ENSJHYG00000001691.1)
Source: RNAcentral